AGUGAACGCUGGCGGUAGGCCUAACACAUGCAAGUCGAACGGCAGCACAGGAGAGCUUGCUCUCUGGGUGGCGAGUGGCGGACGGGUGAGGAAUACAUCGGAAUCUACUCUGUCGUGGGGGAUAACGUAGGGAAACUUACGCUAAUACCGCAUAAGACCUACGGGUGAAAGCAGGGGACCUUCGGGCCUUGCGCGAUUGAAUGAGCCGAUGUGGGAUUAGCUAGUUGGCGGGGUAAAGGCCCACCAAGGCGACGAUCCGUAGCUGGUCUGAGAGGAGGAUCAACCAAGCUGAAACUAGGACACGGUCCAGACGCCUACGGAAGGCAGCAGUGGGAAAUAUUGGACAAUGGGCGCAAGCCUGAUCCAGCCAUACCGCGUGGGUGAAGAAGGCCUUCGGGUUGUAAAGCGCUUUUGUUGAGAAAGAAAUCCAGCUGGCUAAUACCCGGUUGGGAUGACGGUACCCAAAGAAUAAGCACCGGCUAACUUCGUGCCAGCCGCCGCCGUAA
RNAcentral lists this ribosomal RNA (506 nucleotides) under uncultured bacterium. Its description in RNAcentral is "partial 16S ribosomal RNA". It matches the Rfam family "Bacterial small subunit ribosomal RNA", at positions 29 to 523 of the family's 1533-position model. The record is from RNAcentral.